This 630-nucleotide long non-coding RNA is filed under the name Homo sapiens (human). Its description in RNAcentral is "HSALNT0002134". Lineage: Eukaryota; Metazoa; Chordata; Mammalia; Primates; Hominidae. The record is from RNAcentral.
UCCCACUGCCUCACCCAGGCAAAGCCCAGCUUCCCAAGACCUGGCUGUGACAAUAUUGUCUCCGCGUUAAUCCCGCUCUGGUUUAGGGGCCUGAACUGGCUCUGACCAGGCGUGCUGGUUCCCACGGCCAGACCGUCCACUCAGCGAAUCAGCACAGGCUCCAGGGUGAGGGGGUGAGAAGUGUGGGAGAGGCCAAGGAGGGGCCUGAGGCUCAGCAGACUGAGGGGGCCCCUCCUCGCCCUAGGCCUUGCUAGUCAGGGCCCUUCUGCCCCUUAUUUGGGAGGGUCCUUGAGCUAGCCCCAAACCCUCACUGAUCCCAGCCCCCUCCUUGAGCCCCCAUCCCACUGGGACCCUCUACUCCCAGCAGCAUCUAUCCCAGCAUCUGCCCUUGCUGAUCUAUCUCCGCACCCUCAAGCCCUGAGCCUCCUCCUUACUAAAGCACAAUGUGGCCUGGAACCUGCCAUUGCCCCUGUGGGUCUCGCCCUCUUCUCUCUUAGCCAGAGGUGGGCUUAUUGUGAAGUUAAUAAAACUUAUGCUCAUGGCCUCACUUCCAUGGCCCCUGUGAAGGCUGGGAGUUGCUGGGAGUUACAGAGUGUUCUAGACAAGGAGAGAAGCUGGUUUCACUCAGGA